UUUACAGGCAGGUUGAGCGGUAAAGCUUGAUUUAGGCUCGAGUCUCACAAUAAUAACAUUAAUGGGAUUUGGUACACACAUAACGUGAGAGGAGGAGCUGCCUCACAGGAUUUGAGUGCCAGUAGAGACAAGGAGUCAGGACAUUGCUACUUUUAUUUAUUUAAAGGAUCUGAAGACUUCUUCACCAUUUUCAACAGAGAGGGCCCUUCCUGAACAAACCAGCCACAGAUACCAGCCUGCACAGCACAGCAGCCCAGCACAAACAGCCAGCUUCCAGGGCCUCUUAGUAUAUGGAGUGAGAUGAACAUGAUAAUGGAGAGGGCCACUGUUUGGAAAAUGGAGGUGAGGGGCAGCUGAAGACGACACACCACGUCCCCUGGCUGGCCCAGGAAGAGCAGCAGACUGAGGCAAGCUCCCAUCAGGCUUAGCAGA
Siniperca chuatsi (mandarin fish) is the source of this 432-nucleotide long non-coding RNA. RefSeq lists it as uncharacterized. NCBI's taxonomy places the organism in Eukaryota, Metazoa, Chordata, Actinopteri, Centrarchiformes, Sinipercidae. The record is from RefSeq and is a predicted model, not a curated record. The transcript is spliced from 4 exons.